GUGUCAGCAGCCGCGGUAAUACGUAGGGUGCGAGCGUUAAUCGGAAUUACUGGGCGUAAAGCGUGCGCAGGCGGCGCGUUAAGACAGGUGUGAAAUCCCCGGGCUUAACCUGGGAAUUGCGCUUGUGACUGGCGUGCUCGAGUGCGGCAGAGGGGGGUGGAAUUCCACGUGUAGCAGUGAAAUGCGUAGAGAUGUGGAGGAACACCGAUGGCGAAGGCAGCCCCCUGGGCCGACACUGACGCUCAUGCACGAAAGCGUGGGGAGCAAACAGGAUUAGAUACCCCCGUAGUCC
This 292-nucleotide ribosomal RNA is filed under the name uncultured bacterium. Its description in RNAcentral is "partial 16S ribosomal RNA". It matches the Rfam family "Bacterial small subunit ribosomal RNA", at positions 505 to 796 of the family's 1533-position model. The record is from RNAcentral.